AGUCGAGCGGUAACAUUUCUAGCUUGCUAGAAGAUGACGAGCGGCGGACGGGUGAGUAACGCGUAGGAAUCUGCCUAGUAGAGGGGGACAACAUGUGGAAACGCAUGCUAAUACCGCAUACGCCCUUAGGGGGAAAGGAGGGGAUCUUAGGACCUUCCGCUAUUAGAUGAGCCUGCGUAAGAUUAGCUAGUUGGUGGGGUAAAGGCCUACCAAGGCGACGAUCUUUAACUGGUCUGAGAGGAUGACCAGUCACACUGGGACUGAGACACGGCCCAGACUCCUACGGGAGGCAGCAGUGGGGAAUAUUGGACAAUGGGCGAAAGCCUGAUCCAGCCAUGCCGCGUGUGUGAAGAAGGCCUUAGGGUUGUAAAGCACUUUCAGUGGGGAGGAAGG
Molecule: ribosomal RNA, 393 nt
Filed under: Marinomonas mangrovi
Lineage: Bacteria; Pseudomonadati; Pseudomonadota; Gammaproteobacteria; Oceanospirillales; Oceanospirillaceae
Description: bacterial SSU rRNA
Rfam family: Bacterial small subunit ribosomal RNA
Source: RNAcentral